RNAcentral lists this ribosomal RNA (228 nucleotides) under uncultured bacterium. RNAcentral describes it as "partial 16S ribosomal RNA". It matches the Rfam family "Bacterial small subunit ribosomal RNA", at positions 568 to 796 of the family's 1533-position model. The record is from RNAcentral.
AGUGUAGGCGGCUAUUUAAGUCGGAUGUGAAAGCCCUGGGCUCAACCUGGGAAUUGCAUUCGAAACUGGGUAGCUAGAGUUUGGUAGAGGUAAGUGGAAUUCCGGGUGUAGCGGUGAAAUGCGUAGAUAUCCGGAGGAACAUCAGUGGCGAAGGCGGCUUACUGGACCAAAACUGACGCUGAGGCUCGAAAGCGUGGGGAGCAAACAGGAUUAGAUACCUGGUAGUCC